CCUACGGGAGGCAGCAGUAGGGAAUAUUGCUCAAUGGGGGAAACCCUGAAGCAGCAACGCCGCGUGGAGGAUGAAGGUUUUAGGAUCGUAAACUCCUUUUGUUAGAGAAGAUUAUGACGGUAUCUAACGAAUCAGCACCGGCUAACUCCGUGCCAGCAGCCGCGGUCAUACGGAGGGCGCAAGCGUUACUCGGAAUGACUGGGCGUAAAGAGUGCGUAGGCGGGGUAAUAAGUCAGAUGUGAAGUCCUGUGGCUUAACUGCAGAGCUGCAUUUGAAACUGUUACUCUGGAGUGUGGGAGAGGUAGGUGGAAUUCUUGGUGUAGGGGUAAAAUCCGUAGAGAUCAAGAGGAAUACUCAUGGCGAAGGCGACCUGCUGGAACGUUACUGACGCUGAUGCACGAAAGCGUGGGGAGCAAACAGGAUUAGAUACCCGAGUAGUC
RNAcentral lists this ribosomal RNA (440 nucleotides) under uncultured bacterium. RNAcentral's name for it is "partial 16S ribosomal RNA". It matches the Rfam family "Bacterial small subunit ribosomal RNA", at positions 338 to 795 of the family's 1533-position model. The record is from RNAcentral.